RNAcentral lists this ribosomal RNA (206 nucleotides) under uncultured bacterium. Its description in RNAcentral is "partial 16S ribosomal RNA". It matches the Rfam family "Bacterial small subunit ribosomal RNA", at positions 524 to 728 of the family's 1533-position model. The record is from RNAcentral.
UACGAAGGGGGCUAGCGUUGUUCGGAUUUACUGGGCGUAAAGCGCACGUAGGCGGUUUGUUAAGUGAGAGGUGAAAUCCCAGAGCUCAACUCUGGAACUGCCUUUCAUACUGGCAAGCUAGAGUCCGGAAGAGGUAAGUGGAACUCCUAGUGUAGAGGUGGAAUUCGUAGAUAUUAGGAAGAACACCGGUGGGCGAAGGCGGCUUA